Pelobates cultripes (western spadefoot toad) is the source of this 224-nucleotide non-coding RNA. NCBI's taxonomy places the organism in Eukaryota, Metazoa, Chordata, Amphibia, Anura, Pelobatidae. The record is from the annotation of a GenBank genome assembly.
GGGUGAUGGUCCUGAGGGCCGCGUUACUGACUUCCAUCAGGAGCUGCCUGAGGGUCAGGCCACUUCUGAGGAGUUCCAGGCUCUGAUGGACUCCACCAUGGCGUCCUCUCUCCAGAGAGCGCUCGCCUCUGCUAUGGGGGCUAUGUCCUCCUCCUUUUCCCAGACUCUGGUGCAGUCUCUUUUGCUGCCCCAUGUGGCUAAUCCUGCCCUACUGGGUACGGACC